AGUGAACGCUGGCGGUAGGCCUAACACAUGCAAGUCGAACGGCAGCACAGUAAGAGCUUGCUCUUACGGGUGGCGAGUGGCGGACGGGUGAGGAAUACAUCGGAAUCUACUUUUUCGUGGGGGAUAACGUAGGGAAACUUACGCUAAUACCGCAUACGACCUACGGGUGAAAGCAGGGGAUCUUCGGACCUUGCGCGAUUGAAUGAGCCGAUGUCGGAUUAGCUAGUUGGCGGGGUAAAGGCCCACCAAGGCGACGAUCCGUAGCUGGUCUGAGAGGAUGAUCAGCCACGCUGGAACUGCGACACGGUCCAGACUCCUACGAGAGGCAGCAGUGGGGAAUAUUCGACAAUGGGCGGAAGCCUGAUCCAGCCAUACCGCGUGGGUGAAGAAGGCCUUCGUGUUGUAAAGCCCUUUUGUUGGGAAAGAAAAGCAGCAGGUUAAUACCCCGCUGUUCUGACGGUACCUAAAGAAUAAGCACCGGCUAACUUCGUG
This 492-nucleotide ribosomal RNA is filed under the name uncultured bacterium. RNAcentral describes it as "partial 16S ribosomal RNA". It matches the Rfam family "Bacterial small subunit ribosomal RNA", at positions 29 to 507 of the family's 1533-position model. The record is from RNAcentral.